RNAcentral lists this non-coding RNA (841 nucleotides) under Madascincus mouroundavae (Morondaya skink). RNAcentral describes it as "partial 12S ribosomal RNA". It matches the Rfam family "Bacterial small subunit ribosomal RNA". The record is from RNAcentral. Lineage: Eukaryota; Metazoa; Chordata; Lepidosauria; Squamata; Scincidae.
CAAAGUUUUGGUCCUAAACUUGCCGUUGUUUUUUAUCAAGAUUACACAUGCAAGCAUCUACACACCAGUGAGAAUGCCCACACCCCUUAAACAGGCAACCGGAGCAGGCAUCAGGUUCAAACAACCAUAGCCUAUGACACCUUGCUACGCCACACCCCCACGGGUCUACAGCAGUGAUUAACAUUAAGAUAUAAGCGAAAGCUUGACUUGACUAUGAUUAAUAAAGCCGGUAAAUUUCGUGCCAGCCACCGCGGUUAUACGAAAGACUUAAAACAACAAGCCCACGGCGUAAAGUGUGAACAGAGAAAACACUACAAACCUUAAAGAAAAACUAUAAUAUAAGCCGUAAAACGCCUAAAUCAAUAAGAACACCAAGGAUCUUUAAAUUAAAAGUUACUUGACUCACGAAAGCUAAGAAACAAACUGGGAUUAGAUACCCCACUAUGCUUAGCCCUAAACAUAGACAGUACACACACAAUAUUGUCCGCCAGAGAACUACAAGCAAAAAACUCGAAACUCCAAGGACUUGGCGGUGCUCCACACCAACCUAGAGGAGCCUGUCCUAUAAUCGAUACCCCACGUUAAACCUUACCAUCCUUUGCCAUUCAGCCUAUAUACCGCCGUCGCCAGCCUACCUUAUGAAAGAAAAAUAGUAAGCAAAACAGUUAACAACUAACACGUCAGGUCAAGGUGUAGCAUAUAAGAUGGAAGAGAUGGGCUACAUUUUCUACCACAGAACAAACGAAUGGCCCAAUGAAACCUGGACCUAAAGGUGGAUUUAGCAGUAAGAUAGCUAAAAAAGCCUAUCUUAAAUCCGCUCUGGAGCGCGCACACACCGCCC